Camellia sinensis is the source of this 200-nucleotide non-coding RNA. NCBI's taxonomy places the organism in Eukaryota, Viridiplantae, Streptophyta, Magnoliopsida, Ericales, Theaceae. The record is from RefSeq and is a predicted model, not a curated record.
UAGGUUUUAUCUAGAUCAGAUCGAUCGAUUGAAGAUCUAUUGAUCGAUUGAACGUGAUUUCGAAGUUCAACCUUCUUCAGCUCGGUGAUUCAAUCUCAGAUUCGUUCAGCGAGGAAAGUGAGCACCAUCAUCUACCAAGACUGUGAUUUCUGCACUGCAAUCUGUUUUACAAGAGGAUUUCAAUGCUACUGAGAUUGAGG